This is a non-coding RNA of Amborella trichopoda, 1833 nucleotides long. Lineage: Eukaryota; Viridiplantae; Streptophyta; Magnoliopsida; Amborellales; Amborellaceae. The record is from RefSeq and is a predicted model, not a curated record.
CCCAAGCCACCAAUGAAGAUUGCACUGAGAUAAACGAGUGCUGAAUGGAAAUAAACCAGGAAUCUGUUGUCUUACUAGCCGAUCCUGGAGCAGGAACUAUGCAUGGGACGCAGAAGCUAAGAGGUGCUUCUUUGCUUGAGUAUUUCACUCCAGAGCAAAUUAGAACUCACAUCAACUCUCCAAGGCAGUUUGUGGGUCCGACUAAAUCGAAGGCAGAACAACGUCAAGCAAUGCAGAAUUCUUCAAAUCAAAGUCGUUGCCAGUUGUGCUGUAUGGAGAACCUUUCUUUUGCACUUGCGGUAUAUUGUAAUUUAUGUGGUCUCCAUGUCAAGAGAGAUGCUAUAUAUUAUAUCACAAGCAAUGGGGGCAAACAAUCUUAUAUUUGUCCUAGAUGCUUCCGUGGAGCACGCGGUGAGAGCAUUGAAGUUGAAGGAUUUCAGGUUUUCAAGUCUAAUUUUGUUGAGAAAAAGAACAUUGAUGAACUUAACGAAGAGUGGGUUCAAUGCAGUGGAUGUGGAUCUUGGAACCAUCAGAUAUGUGCGCUAUUCAAUAAUAGAAGUUAUUCUGGGCAGACUGAAUAUGUUUGUCCCUAUUGUUUUUUACAAGAGGUUGAGGGAGGAAAACGAAACCCUCUACCUCAAAGUGACCUUCACAGUGCUAAAGAUUUGCCAAUGACAAUCCUUAGUGAUCAGUUGGAGCAAAGGCUACUUAGGCGGCUAAAUUGGGAGAGAGAAGAAAGGGCAAAAGUAUCAGGGAAGAAUUUUGAUGAGGUGCCAGGGGCCAAAGAUCUUGUCAUUAGAGUUUUCUUAUCUGUUGACAAGAAAUUGCUAGUGAGCCAACGUUUUCUGGAGAUUGUUAAAGAUGAAAGUUACUCUUCAGAGUUUCCAUACAAGUCAAAGGUCAUAUUGCUGUUUCAAAAAAUUGAAGGCGUAGACGUUGUCUUUUUUGCAUGUACGUCCAAGAAUAUGGUUCGGAAUGUCCAUAUCCAAACAAUUGUCGUGUCUGUCUUUCAUAUAUUGAUUCUGUCAAGUACUUCCAGCCUGCGAUUAAGUCUAUUACUGGGGAGGCUCUUCGUACUUUUGUAUAUCGAGAAAUUUUGCUUGGAGAUUCCAUUCGUAAGAAGAGGGAGGAUUUUAUUGUGGUUCACAUGCAGCAUGCAUGAAAGUACUGUGGUGAAUUUGAAAUAUCCGGCAAGCUCCGGGUUUGCAUGUUGUGUGAAAUUUUUUAUCUUCGUGAGAAUUGUUAUGAGGCCGAACAAAAUGUUGAUUGCAAGAAUCAAAUUCCCUGUAACAGAAGGGGAAAGCAUUCCUUUUCUCCUGUCGAGAUGAAUGAUCCUUCGUCAAGCACCGAGGACAAGGAUGGUAUUUUACAAAGUGAAAUAUUUUAUACACCACAAGGCUUCUUAGGCUUCUCUGUAGAUAAUCAUUUACAAUUUGAUACCUUACGCCGUGCAAAGCAUUCCUCUUUUGUGAUCAUUGAUACUCUACAUGACAAUUUCCGCAAGAGCUUACAUUGUCAGCCACUGAAGGGUCAAAGCGGAAAAUAACAAGCUUGAAGGAUCGAAAGUCGAAUUCCAUUAGGAGAUUGGUGUAAAAGAAGAAGAACCGGCCUUUCAUUGCCUUAGGAGUUGCAGAGGCAGGAGGAAAGAAACAGAACCAAAAGAGGUUGCUGAGUCAUUCAAUAUUUGCUCUGAUCUUCCCUUUAAGAUGCUGUGUAUAAUAAUUAAUUUGCAAUACACUCUUUUUCUCCCUCUAUCUAUCUAUCUAUUUGUUUGUCUAUCAAUCCAUCCAUCUGUUCAUUUUCAUCUAUUUAUUUGUUUCUUCAUGUAUUAGC